AGAAUGAACGCUGGCGGCGCGCCUAAUACAUGCAAGUCGAGCGAGAAGACGUAGCAAUACGUUUGUAAAGCGGCGAACGGGUGAGGAAUACAUGGGUAACCUACCCUAGAGUGGGGAAUAACUAGCCGAAAGGUUAGCUAAUACCGCGUACGCUUCUUGGACUUCGGUUCAGGGAGGAAAGCGCUACCAAGGGUAGCGCGCUCUUGGAUGGGCUCAUGUCCUAUCAGCUUGUUGGUGAGGUAACGGCUCACCAAGGCUUCGACGGGUAGCUGGUCUGAGAGGACGAUCAGCCACACUGGCACUGCGACACGGGCCAGACUCCUACGGGAGGCAGCAGUAAGGAAUAUUGCGCAAUGGGCGAAAGCCUGACGCAGCGACGCCGCGUGGGGGAUGAAGGUCUUCGGAUUGUAAACCCCUUUCGGAGGAAGAUGGAAUGGGUAACCCAUUCGGACGGUACCUCCAGAAGCAGCCACGGCUAACGUCGUGCCAGCAGCCGCGGUAA
RNAcentral lists this ribosomal RNA (502 nucleotides) under uncultured soil bacterium. RNAcentral describes it as "bacterial SSU rRNA". It matches the Rfam family "Bacterial small subunit ribosomal RNA", at positions 26 to 523 of the family's 1533-position model. The record is from RNAcentral.